This 200-nucleotide ribosomal RNA is filed under the name uncultured bacterium. RNAcentral describes it as "partial 16S ribosomal RNA". It matches the Rfam family "Bacterial small subunit ribosomal RNA", at positions 8 to 199 of the family's 1533-position model. The record is from RNAcentral.
AGAGUUUGAUCCUGGCUCAGAACGAACGCUGGCGGCGUGGAUAAGACAUGCAAGUCGAACGAUCACACAGAUGCAGCAAUGUAGCUGUGUGGGAGUGGCGAAAGGGUGCGUAACACGUGGGUAAUCUGCCUUCAAGUUUGGGAUAACUCCGGGAAACCGGAACUAAUACCGGAUGUGAUUCAGGAAGGGCAUCUUUCCUG